GUUGAACGCUGGCGGCAGGCUUAACACAUGCAAGUCGAGCGGGGUGAUGGUGCUUGCACUAUCACUUAGCGGCGGACGGGUGAGUAAUGCUUAGGAAUCUGCCUAUUAGUGGGGGACAACAUCUCGAAAGGGAUGCUAAUACCGCAUACGUCCUACGGGAGAAAGCAGGGGAUCUUUAUGACCUUGCGCUAAUAGAUGAGCCUAAGUCGGAUUAGCUAGUUGGUGGGGUAAAGGCCUACCAAGGCGACGAUCUGUAGCGGGUCUGAGAGGAUGAUCCGCCACACUGGGACUGAGACACGGCCCAGACUCCUACGGGAGGCAGCAGUGGGGAAUAUUGGACAAUGGGGGGAACCCUGAUCCAGCCAUGCCGCGUGUGUGAAGAAGGCCUUAUGGUUGUAAAGCACUUUAAGCGAGGAGGAGGCUACUUUAGUUAAUACCUAGGGAUAGUGGACGUUACUCGCAGAAUAAGCACCGGCUAACUCUGUGCCAGCAGCCGCCGUAA
RNAcentral lists this ribosomal RNA (502 nucleotides) under uncultured bacterium. RNAcentral's name for it is "partial 16S ribosomal RNA". It matches the Rfam family "Bacterial small subunit ribosomal RNA", at positions 28 to 523 of the family's 1533-position model. The record is from RNAcentral.